This is a long non-coding RNA of Psammomys obesus (fat sand rat), 2060 nucleotides long. RefSeq lists it as uncharacterized. The record is from RefSeq and is a predicted model, not a curated record. The transcript has 4 exons. NCBI's taxonomy places the organism in Eukaryota, Metazoa, Chordata, Mammalia, Rodentia, Muridae.
CUCCCUCUCUCAGCAAUGGAUGACGUAUGCUGAAUUUAUGCCACUGGCUCUCAGAUCAUCUCUGCAAAGCACAAUCUACGGCCUUUCACUGGCCGCUCUGACCCGUGUCACACGCGUUGCCUGACUGAGAAGGGCACUGAGACUGGACUCGCGCAGAGCUGAAGCGCUCCGUGCCCUCUUUGACUUUCCCCAGUCCUGUCUCCUCGGGUGGGAGCGGAGUCAUCGGGAGCGAGAGUGCACAGAGUUCUCGCGACGCUCACGCUGCAGCCCUGAUGGUAGAAGCAUGAAAACCGUGUUCUUCAGGCUUCGAGCAUACACUGUGUGCUGGCUGCCUGCCCGUCCCUCACCCCUCAGGCCAUGUUGGUCAAGGGACUUGAUGGUGUUACCCUCUGCUUUUAUCCCUGCGUCCUCACUGAACAUUUUUGUUGAUGGGUGAGAGGUGGAGGCUGGAGGGUGAGGAGUUCAAGUUCUUCCUUGGCUACAGCCAGACCUGGUUGUGCACGCUUGUAACCUCAACUACUCAGAAGCUGGGGCAGGAGGAUCCCAAGUUCCAGAUCUUCCUGGAUUACUUAGUGAGUUCAAGGACAGCCCGAACAACUUCCUGGAAUUCAGAGUCAAAAUAAAAAAGUGAAAGGAAGAGAAAGGCUAUAGCUCCGUGGUAGCACACUCACACCUAUGCAUGAGUUCCCUGUUACCAGAACACAGUGAAACACAAGCGCUGGGGCUGGAGGGAUGGCUCGAUGGCUCAGGGCAAUGGCAGCUCUUCCGGAGGACCUUCCUCAGAUUCCCAGCACCUGUGAAGCAGCUCACACCUCUCGGUAACUCCAGUUCCAGGGGAUCUGACACCUUCUUCUGGCCUUUGUGGAUACCAGGCUCUGAUUGGAGGCUCUUUCCCAGAUGCAGAUGUUUAAGUCUGAGGACUCUAAAGAGGAAUAAAUGCCGGAGCUAAAAGAGAAAGAGGGGCUCUGAGGAAGCAGAAGAACGCUGGUGAUGCCUCCUGCUGCUCCUGGUUGGUGAAGAUAUCCUGAAACAAAGAUUGGACUUGCCCCAAGGAACCCAACGACCCUAACCAGCAAGAAGUAACCAAAGAGAACUACUUCCCCUUUCCCUUCUGACCUUUCUCUCCUCCCUGGCGUUGGGUGUUGGAAGGGACUAAGUGGAGAAGGGAAGAAGAUGAAACCUAAGUAAAAUAGUUUUAAAAAGAGUGCAUCAAGUAAGCACGUGGUGCACAGACAUAUAAGCAGGAAAAAUACCCUUACACCUAAAAGAAAAUUACAAAAUAGAUCAAUGACAAAACAUGGACCCUGUUUCCCUUCUCAGAUUAUUGGCUUCCUUUGGGAGGAUUUUGCAUCCUUACAGUGGUUCAAUCAUUCGGACUCUAACGGAGAACUGGGGGCUUCAGCAGGUGGGAGAGUACUUCCCUACUGCCUCAGAUUUUUAUUUUGAAUUAUAAAGUAUGCCCCACCAGCCAACGGCAUUUAUAAAGGUUAUUCAUGUAGAUUAUUGUUGUAAGUUUUAGGUAUUUUAUUGCUCAUCUGCCUCUUGACUGUUGGAUUUUUUUUUUUUUUAUUACUUCCUAGAAAGUUUGAAAAUCAGUGUGAUUGAGUGACAGAAUGGUCAAUAAAAUGAAGAUCCUCCUAUGUGGCCAAAAGUACAAGAGGGGUGUGUCAGGACUAAAGAAUCCGUUUCCCACCUAACACUGGCAGAAGGACAAAUGACGGUUGGCGGUGGCUAUCGGCAUACCAAAGCGCACGCUGGCCUCCAGGAUCCCUGAGUAUCACCAAUACCCAUUACACAUUUCAGCGUCCAUGCUGACAUCUCCCCCCGCCCCCCGCCACACACACCUCCCCGAGUCAUCCCCACAUUCUCAUUCUUUUUGUAGCCUUGCUACUUCAGCUCUGCGCUCUCCUGGCUCCUCUCUCUCUCUCCCCUCUCAUGGCCAGGUCCAGCCUGCUGGCUGUGUUCAGUCCACUGCUUUAUCUCUUUUCUCUGGCCUCUUCCAGAUGGCUCUGCCUGUACUCCCCCUCAUAUGGACAAUAAAAACUUUCCCCUCAACCAUA